Molecule: ribosomal RNA, 493 nt
Filed under: uncultured bacterium
Lineage: Bacteria
Description: bacterial SSU rRNA
Rfam family: Bacterial small subunit ribosomal RNA
Source: RNAcentral
AAAGGAAUAGACGGGGGCCCGCACAAGCGGAGGAACAUGUGGUUUAAUUCGAUGAUACGCGAGGAACCUUACCUGGGCUUAAAUGUAGAUUGCAUGACGCGGAAACGCGCUUCCCUUCGGGGCUAUUUACAAGGUGCUGCAUGGUUGUCGUCAGCUCGUGCCGUGAGGUGUCGGGUUAAGUCCCAUAACGAGCGCAACCCUUACCGUUAGUUGCCAGCGGGUCAAGCCGGGGACUCUAGCGGGACUGCCACCGUAAGGUGAGAGGAAGGUGGGGAUGACGUCAAAUCAGCACGGCCCUUAUGUCCAGGGCUACACACGUGUUACAAUGGCCAGUACAAAGGGCAGCUACCGGGUGACCGGGUGCUAAUCUCUAAAGCUGGUCUCAGUUCGGAUCGAAGUCUGCAACCCGACUUCGUGAAGCUGGAUUCGCUAGUAAUCGCGCAUCAGCCAUGGCGCGGUGAAUACGUUCCCGGGCCUUGUACACACCGCCCGU